UGGAAUCGAACCUGGGACCCUUGAGUCCGCAGGCCGACACUCUAUCCACUGAGCCAAACCAGUUAGGGCAAAAUGACUUAUUGAAGACGACAUUUACAUGCUUGGAAAAGACCAAGACAAUGUUUAGAUUCUGGGAGAGCAUAUAAGACAGUUUUCCCAGAGACACAAGGCUUAGGAAGAAGUCCUUGCCAGGUUUUGAAAUGAUGACAUGAGGCAAGGGAAUUCCAAUCUGGGACAUCCUGUGCACAGCUUGAGGAUGG
Molecule: long non-coding RNA, 260 nt
Organism: Eptesicus fuscus (big brown bat)
Lineage: Eukaryota; Metazoa; Chordata; Mammalia; Chiroptera; Vespertilionidae
Exons: 3
Source: RefSeq, a predicted model, not a curated record